AUACGGAGGGUGCAAGCGUUGUUCGGAAUCACUGGGCGUAAAGGGUGUGUAGGCGGCCUCGUAAGUCGGAUGUGAAAGCCCUCGGCUCAACCGAGGAAGUGCAUCCGAUACUGCGGGGCUUGAGUCCCGGAGAGGGGGGCGGAAUUCCCGGUGUAGAGGUGAAAUUCGUAGAUAUCAGGAGGAACACCGGUGGCGAAGGCGACCCCCUGGACGGAGACUGACGCUCAGACACGAAAGCGUGGGGAGCAAACAGGAUUAGAAACCAUAGUAGUCC
RNAcentral lists this ribosomal RNA (274 nucleotides) under uncultured bacterium. RNAcentral describes it as "partial 16S ribosomal RNA". It matches the Rfam family "Bacterial small subunit ribosomal RNA", at positions 523 to 796 of the family's 1533-position model. The record is from RNAcentral.